Molecule: ribosomal RNA, 742 nt
Filed under: uncultured bacterium
Lineage: Bacteria
Description: bacterial SSU rRNA
Rfam family: Bacterial small subunit ribosomal RNA
Source: RNAcentral
AGAGUUUGAUCAUGGCUCAGAACGAACGCUGGCGGCAGGCUUAACACAUGCAAGUCGAACGGGCCCUUCGGGGUCAGUGGCAGACGGGUGAGUAACACGUGGGAACGUACCUUUCAGUUCGGAAUAACCCAGGGAAACUUGGGCUAAGACCGGAUACGCCCUUUUGGGGAAAGAUUUAUCGCUGAGAGAUCGGCCCGCGUCUGAUUAGCUAGUUGGUGAGGUAAAGGCUCACCAAGGCGACGAUCAGUAGCUGGUCUGAGAGGAUGAUCAGCCACAUUGGGACUGAGACACGGCCCAAACUCCUACGGGAGGCAGCAGUGGGGAAUAUUGGACAAUGGGCGCAAGCCUGAUCCAGCCAUGCCGCGUGAGUGAUGAAGGCCUUAGGGUUGUAAAGCUCUUUCGGCGGGGACGAUAAUGACGGUACCCGCAGAAGAAGCCCCGGCUAACUUCGUGCCAGCAGCCGCGGUAAUACGAAGGGGGCUAGCGUUGUUCGGAAUCACUGGGCGUAAAGGGCGCGUAGGCGGCUUGAUAAGUCGGGGGUGAAAGCCUGUGGCUCAACCACAGAAUUGCCUUCGAUACUGUCUGGCUCGAGACCGGAAGAGGUAAGUGGAACUGCGAGUGUAGAGGUGAAAUUCGUAGAUAUUCGCAAGAACACCAGUGGCGAAGGCGGCUUACUGGUCCGGUUCUGACGCUGAGGCGCGAAAGCGUGGGGAGCAAACAGGAUUAGAUACCCUAGUAGUCC